UGCGUAGGCGGUCUGUUAAGUCGGAUGUGAAAUCCCCGGGCUCAACCUGGGAAUGGCAUCUGAUACUGGCGGACUUGGAGUCUUGGAGAGGGUGGUGGAAUUCCUGGUGUAGCGGUGAAAUGCGUAGAGAUCAGGAGGAACACUAGUGGCGAAGGCGGCCACCUGGCCAAAGACUGACGCUGAGGCACGAAAGCGUGGGGGAGCAAACA
Molecule: ribosomal RNA, 209 nt
Filed under: uncultured bacterium
Lineage: Bacteria
Description: partial 16S ribosomal RNA
Rfam family: Bacterial small subunit ribosomal RNA
Source: RNAcentral